UUAAUCAAUUAGCUCUUAUACUAUUAUAACAGAGAUGAUAAUUUUUUUUUAAAAGGGGGUGAUGAACAGGAAUUCCUUCUACAACAGAGGAAUUUGACACAAUUCGUAGCCGUCGUAGUGUUGCUAAAACCCUAAAGUUUAAGCCUAUGAAAGGGAACCGCAUCAUCGACGUAACAGCUUAUCAAAUGCCCUUCUGGAACGUAUCAUUUCUGAUAAAAUGGCAAAACAGAGAAGCAAAGAGUCUUUCAUACUGAUCAUCAUUUCAUGCUAAAUAACUAAUAAGGUCCAUCUGAUGAAAUGCCUUGUUCUCUCGUUUUUCACUCGAGAAAUUGGCGUGGAAUUUCUACAGGUCAAAUAUCUGCAGGUCAAACUUCGAGUUAGAUAGCAGAGAUUUUCUUCUCCAUAGCGCGGAACUGUGAUGAAGACGUCAAAUGAAAAUAACACAGCGGCAACACCCAUCAAUCCAAGCGCAUGUAAAAAUCAUGGGUUUUCCGUUGAAAAUCAGCUCAAUUAUGAUCAAAAUAAGAUACAAAUGAGUCUCAAUUAAAUUGACGCAUUCAAUGUUUCAAACCAGCUGACCGAAUUUCAGCUCAAUCUAGCGAUUAAUGAAUGUGCAAAUAUCAAUUUAUCUCGAGAUUGCCCCG
Long non-coding RNA from Neltuma alba, 644 nucleotides. RefSeq lists it as uncharacterized. The record is from RefSeq and is a predicted model, not a curated record. The transcript has 2 exons. Lineage: Eukaryota; Viridiplantae; Streptophyta; Magnoliopsida; Fabales; Fabaceae.